GCACGGAGUUAGCCGGUGCUUGCUAAGGAGGUACCGUCAAGCCGUUGGAUAUUAGCCAACGUUUUUUCGUCCCUCCCCACAGAGCUUUACGACCCGAAGGCCUUCAUCACUCACGCGGCGUGGCUGGGUCAGGCUUGCGCCCAUUGCCCAAUAUUCCCCACUGCUGCCUCCCGUAGGAGUCUGGGCCGUGUCUCAGUCCCAGUGUGGCUGAUCAUCCUCUCAGACCAGCUACCCGUCUAAGCCUUGGUGAGCCAUUACCUCACCAACUAGCUGAUGGGCCGCGGGCUCCUCUUUUGGCGCCAACUUUCAUGAAGAGGUCGGCUUUCCCGACGUGAUCCGAAGACCUCGCCGUCAAAUGCGGUAUUAGCAAUCCUUUCGGACUGUUAUCCCCCACCAAAAGAUAGAUUACCCACGUGUUACUCACCCGUCCGCCACUUUACUAAGAGAGCCGAAGCCCUCUAUUCUCGUGCGACUUGCAUGUGUUAGGCCCGCCGCUAACGUUCGCU
RNAcentral lists this ribosomal RNA (506 nucleotides) under uncultured bacterium. RNAcentral's name for it is "partial 16S rRNA". The record is from RNAcentral.